GCCGCCUUAGCUCAGACGGCUAGAGCGUCUCACUCGUAAUGAGAAGGUCAAGGGUUCGAUUCCCUUAGGCGGCU
This 74-nucleotide transfer RNA is filed under the name Marihabitans asiaticum. It matches the Rfam family "tRNA". From Rfam's summary of the family: Transfer RNA (tRNA) molecules are approximately 80 nucleotides in length. Their secondary structure includes four short double-helical elements and three loops (D, anti-codon, and T loops). The record is from Rfam by way of RNAcentral. Lineage: Bacteria; Bacillati; Actinomycetota; Actinomycetes; Micrococcales; Intrasporangiaceae.